Molecule: long non-coding RNA, 14712 nt
Organism: Camelus dromedarius (Arabian camel)
Lineage: Eukaryota; Metazoa; Chordata; Mammalia; Artiodactyla; Camelidae
Exons: 6
Source: RefSeq, a predicted model, not a curated record
UUUUGUUUUGUAAUUGUUUAUUGCUGGUACAGAGAAAUACACCUGAUUUUUUGUGUGUGUGUGUUGAGCUUGUAUCCUGCAACAUUGUUAAAGUUGCUUAUUAGUUACAGGAGUUUUUGUUAAUAGAUUUCAUGGGAUUUUCUAUGUAGGGAAUCUUGUCAUCUGUGAAUUGCAGCAGUUUGAUGUCCUCCUUCCCAGUCUAAACCACUUCCUUUCCUUUCUUUCCUUACUAGAGUGGCUAAGACUUCUAGUACAAUGUUGAAUUCUAGCCGAGGUAAGAGUGGCUAUCCUCCUGGCCUUGUUCCUGAUCUUAGGGAGAAAACAUUUAGUCUUUCUCCAUGAAGUAGGACGGAAGGUGCAGGUAUUGUUGUAGGUGCUCUAUAUCAGGUUUUAAAAGCUCCCUUCUACUCCUGGUUGGCUGAGUGUUUUCUUCAUGAAUGGCUGUUGAAUUUUGUCGGAUGCUUUCUCUGCAUCAGUUGAUAUGAUCAUGGAGUUCUUUUUCUUUGGUAUGCUGAUAUGGUGGAUUGAUUGAUGGAUUUUUGAAUGCUGCACCAGCUUUGCAUUUCUGGGAUAAACCCCAGUAGAUCAUGAUGUAUUAUUCUUUUAAUAUAUUGAAUUUGAUUUGCUAUUACUGUCUCUGUUUGAUUCUGGUAUCAAGGUAAUGCUAAUCUGAUAAACUGAUUCAACAAGUGUUCCUUCUCUUCUACUUCCUUGAAGAGACCGUGUAGGGUUGCUGGUGUUUCUUCUUACACGUUUGGUAGGAUUUUCCAGGGAUACCAUCUGGGCCUGGAGAUUUCUUUCCUGUAAGUUUUUCAACUACAAAUUUGAUUUUUAGAUAGAUUCACGUCUAUUCAAAUGAUCUGUUUAGUUUUGAAUGAGCUUUGAUAAUUUGUUCCAUUUCACCUAAAUUGCCAAAUGUAGGUAUAUAGAGUCAUUCAUAGGAUUCUUGUCAUUUCUGUGGGGUCUGUAUGUAGCCUGUUUCAUGCCUGAUGUUGGUAAGCUGUGUCUUUACUUGUCUUUUUUUUUUUUUUUUUUUUUUUGGUCUGUCUGUGUAGAAGUUGAUGUAAUGUUAUCGACCUUUUCAAACAAUCAGCUUUGGGUUUCAUUAUCUCUAUUCUUUUUCUCAUUUCUGUUCCAACCUCUAUUUCUCUUAUUCUCCUUGGUUUCAAUUGAUUUUGAGUUUUUUGUUUUUUUUUUUCUAGUUUCUCAAGUAGAAGCUUUCAUUACUGAUUUGGGUUCUGUAGUCUUUCUACUACAAGCAUUUGCUGCUGUACAUUUAAUGCUGGCACUGCUGCAGCUGCAUCCUGCAGAUUUUGGUAGGUUGUUUUCUCAUUUUCAUUUUGUUCAAGAUCGUUUCUAACUUCCCUUGAUACUUGCCCUUUGGUCCAUGGACUAUUCAGAAGUGUACGGUUUAAUUUUUCUUGUGUUUGGAGAUUUUCCUCUUAAUUUUUUCUUACUUAUUGGUAGUUUUUCUCUUUUGGUCAGACAACAUUCUUUAUAUGAUUUCAACUAUUUUGCAUUUGAUAAGAUUUGUUUUAUGACCCAGGAUAUAGUGUACUUUGGGUAAACUUCCACAUGGCAUUGAAAAGAAUGUAGUAUAGUCUGCCUUGUUAUGUGGAGGGUUCUGUGCUUGUCAGAACAUCCAGUUAGUUCAUGGUCAUUCAGUUCAUUUAUGCAUUCGAAUUUGCUUUCUGUUUUCAGUAUAUGUUCAGUAUAUUGCUAUGUUCAGUAUAUUACUGAGAGAGUCCAGCUACUGUUUGUAGACUUGUUUCAGCUCUUUCAGCUCUGUCUGACUUGGUGCAGAUUUCUCUGGGAAAUUAGAGCUCUAAUGACCUCUUCGUAGGAUUUGUAUAAUGAUGGGAAAUUAAGUUGUCACUGGAUGAUUAUAGAACAUGAGUAUAUAAUUUUUUAUUGAGUGAUAGUCGCUUUACAAGGCUGUGUCAGUUUCUGGCAUACAGCACUAUUUUUCAGUCAUACAUGAAUAUACAUGUCUUCAUUUUCAUAUUCUUGUUCCCCGUGAGGUACCGCAAGAUCUUCUAUCUAUUUCCCUGUGUUAUACAGUCUAAACUUGUUUAUCUAUUCUAUAUAUGCCUGUCAGUAUCUACCAAUCUCAAACUCCCAGUCUGUCCCUUCCCACCCACCUCCCCGCUGGCAACCACAAGUUUGUAUUCUUUGUCUGUGAGUCGGUUUCUGUUUUAUAUUUAGGUUCAUUGCUCUUUCUUUUUUUUAGAUUCCGCCUAUAAGUGAUAUCAUAUGGUAUUUUUCUCUCUCUUUCUCUUACUUCACUUCUCCAGGGACAUCCAUGUUGCUGCAAAUGGCAUUAUGUUGUCAUUUUUAUGGCUGAAUAGUAUUCCACGGUAUAAAUAUACCACCACUUCUUUAUCCAGUCAUCUGUCGAUGGACAUUUAGGCUGUUUCCAUGUCUUGUCUGUUGUAAAUAGUGCUGCUGUGAACAUUGGGGUGCAGGUGUCUUUUUGAAUUAGGGUUCCCUCUGGAUGUAUGCCCAGGAGUAGGAUUACUGGGUCCUAUGGUAAGUCUAUUCCUAGUCUUUUGAGGAAUCUCCAUACUGUUUUCCACAAUGGCUGCACCAAACUGCAUUGCCACCAACAGUGUAGGAGGGUUCCCUUUUCUCCACACCCUCUCCAGCAUUUAUCAUCUGUGAACUUUUGUAUGAUGGCUAUUCUGACUGGUGUGAGGUGAUGAGUAUAUAAAUGUUUAAAAACAUUUCAGGUGAAAUUUAAAUGCCUAAGAACCUCAUCAUAUGGCUUUUUUUCUUUCUGCUAUUAGUUUUGUCAGGUGAAGUAAUUCUCCUUCAUUAAAUUCUGAAGAUCUGAAUCUGAUGAAGAUGCGAGAAGUGUUAAUAGUCCAGCUUUCCUAGUAACACUUUAUUUCUCGUGUAGUUUUCACACUGCCAGUUUUAUUGUGUUCAGUGUUUCUACCGCUAAUGUCUGUGAUUGACCUAACAAAAGGCUGACGGUAGUAAUUUUUUCUGAGCCGAAUCGUGAGGAGAUGGCCAAUAGUGUUUUCAGAUGGAGAGUCUGAGGAAAGGGGCAGAAGGGAGAGAGGGUGGAGUGGGGGUGGGGAAGGUGAGAGUGUGGGGCUGGGGAAGGAUACGGUAGAAGCAGAAACAGAAGUGAAGAGACACAAGAGGAAAAGCUCGGGCUCCUGGACUGUGUUUAGCCAUGUCUUUAUGCACAUGUGUAAUAUGAGGGUCAUCGGUUACCCACAGCAACACUGUGAGGUAAGCGUUUUCCAUGUUAUCGUCCCUUUUUACAGAUGACGAGGCUGAGACACGUAGAGGUUUACAGGUGAAGGAACUUACCCAGAGUCACCCAGCCAGCAAGGGCUGAGUCACAUUGGUACCCAGGCCAGAGAGAAACAGAGACGUGGUGUCGGCACCAAACUCUGGAACACACUGCAGCGUCCGGUGUCCCCUGGAUCAAAAGGCAGGUGACUGUGUCCAGCAGCAUGAAUCAGAUCACGCUGGGUCUCUGUAUGGAUUGAAGGUGACGUCUGUUCAGUGCAUGAAAGACUGGGGUGUCAUCUCCAUAUGCACACGUCACAGAGGACGGUUCCCCGUAGGUGUGAAGGUCUAUCCUUAUCUUUGCUCCUGCUGAUGUCAGUCAUCAUCCUCAUCCUUAUGGAAAGUAGCGUAUCCAUAGUAUAAUGAUAAACGGAGCAGUAGAUACAACAUUAUGAAGGCAUUACCUCCCCACCCACCUCAUCGUUUUUAAAAAUGCAUAGAAAGAAACCUGGAAGACAAGAGACCACAUAUUAAGUGUUUUUCUCUUAAAUGUGAAGUUCUAGGAAAUUUCCAAAUAACAUUUAUUAUUCACUUUUUAUUUUCUGUACUUCAUUAUUCCAUAGCCAAUUUUUCUAUUCUAAUUUAAAAGUAGUCCUUCUGAAGACCCAUUCUCUUAGGUAUCUUGACGUUUCAGGAUUUAAUUAAAAAAAAAUGUUUUUAUAUCUUUGCCAGGUGAAAAACCAGACAGCGCAUUGAAAGCGGGAGAAUGAUCUUUUGUACAGUAGGUGGGGAGCGGCGGGGAGGGGAGCAGAGAGGUCCUGAUAGAAGGUUAGGUAAGUCUGCAAGUGUAAACGAGGCCACACAGGAUAGAGGCCAAACCCAAAUCACACCUGGCACUUCCCUACAGAGAGAGUGGUGUUCUAUCCGCAUAAGUAUCCGUAUUAGGACUUCUUAGGCCUUCGCUCUUUUUUGGCUCCCGUGGCUCGGUGGGGCAACACGCAAUACUUACAAGGAAGUCCUGCUUUGAGCCAGGCUGUGGGUGAGGGUCGCACCCUCCCCUGCAGCACCGCCCCAUUUGUGGGCCAUCCGGAGCACUUUUCUUGAUGUCUGGGAGCCUGCAGAUUCAGAAGGGAAGAGAGGAAGAAGAUUCAUAGUGCGGUAGGUAGGUCCAGCCCUCCCCCAGUAAAUCCAUACGCAGAGAGUGAGAUGCAGGUGCAGUCAUCAGUUGGGAAGGAGCAGAGCUGGAUUGGGUGACUCAAGGAGGAAACGUGGAAGUGAAUGCAAAGGGGGGAAAACACAUUAAGAGGGGUGAACAGCUACAGUUCCCAUUUCUAGUACGAGGAUAGGGUGCUCCAUUAUUGUUGGGAGAGGGCUCCCUGCUCUGAGCGCUGGCAGGGCCUCACUGCACUUGGUGAUGAGCAUUCUGAGGACCCGCCAUCAGCCCUAACUAGGGGGUGCUGAGCAUGUGAAGCCAGGAAGGAGUCAGCCUUUACCACCGACAGACACAGAGAGCUUCUUAGGCCUGCUGAAGGUACUGCUGUGGCACCUCAGGGAAGCUCAAAGGUGCCCUGUAGCAAAACCACCAGUGCUUCCUCAGCCUCCUGAACCAGCUCAGGGAGGCUGCCCAGACACUACAUACUGAUCUGGAUGUGCCUGGUGGUAGCGGGUGUGUGUGUGUGUGUGUGUGUGUGUGUGUGUAAUGAAUAUGAUCUGUUUAUUUAAUGGUUCACCAAGCUCCAGCUGUGGUCAGGGCACUAUGCUGGGUGUCUGGGGGAUACAAAAAAAAGAAAAAGACACAUCAGUGCCUUCAUGGAGUUUAUGUGAAAUCAUGAGACAAUAGUGAAUCUAACAAUCACGCAAAUAAACGUGAAAACUGCUGCUGUGAUUGGUGAGAGCAGACAGGCACACCCCAGGGCUUCGGAGGAAAUGCCCUUAGCCAGAUCUUUAGGGAAGUCUUCCCUGAAGAGACAUGACUUGUGUUGAAAUGUGAAUGAUGCCCAGGAGUUAACUAAUCAAGAGGCUUCAGGAAGAGGGGACAGUCUAAGUGAAGUUUGGAAAAUUGGAGGGUGUGAAAGAAGCCCAAUAAGAGAGACAAGAGGAAGCUCUGCUUUCCAUAUGGCUAAAGAGGUGGGCAGGGGCUAGACCACGCCUCGGCGUCCUUGUGUAGGAGUGUAGUCUUUAUGUAAAGUCAGGGACAGCUCUGCAACAGGAAGAGAGGGAGGGGAGAGGGCGACAGAGACCGACACACUGAGCGGAUGUGAGAGGCGACUUAGAAGGGAGGUUUCACAGUCAGAAGGAGGGAGGCUUUGGACUAGAGCUGAUGGGGUGGGCACAGGAAAAAGUGGAAACAUCAAGUAUUUGGGAAGUAAAAUGGGCAGAACUCAGCAAGGAUUUGGACUUGAGGUGAAGGAGAGGGAGUUGCAAAAAUGGUUAUGACUAAGUUUCUGUGUUUACUCAUAGGAGUACGAUGGAGUUGUCCAUUGACAUGGGGAAUACUAGCAGACGGCCCAGUCUGUAAAGAAUUCCGAAAUAAGAUGUAUUUAUGAAAUCACGGUGUAGGUGGAUACGAUGUUCCUGGCAGCAUCAAUCAACAAUCAAAGAGUGCAAGCAGCCCAAACGCCAACCAACUAAUGAAUACAGUUUGAAAUACAGUGGUAUAUCCGUAUAAUAGAAUAUUAUUCAGCCAUCAAAAAGAACAGAGGACUGAUACAUGCUACAACAUGGAUGAAUCUUGAACACAUGAAGCAAAGUGAAAGAAGGCAGACACACAAGGCCGCCUAGUGCAAGAUUCUGUUUUUAUGACAUGUCCACAGUAGGCAUCUCCAUAAAGACGAAAGCAGGUUAGUGAGUGCCAGGGGCCGGUGGGAGGGGACGUUGCGGAGAGACUGCUCACGUUCUGCGAUUAUGUAUUGGGGUUGGUUGCACAGCAUGGUCAAUAUGGUAAAAACCAUUCAGAGGGUGAGUAUGCUACUUGCAUGACAGUUGAAUAAAAAUUUUUUUUAAAGAAAGGGAUGUACCUUGGGAUAUGCUUUGGGCCAUUGUGGGAAAUAGAGUCAGCCACACCAGAAGGAGCAGUAAGCACUCCAGAUCUUGCCUCCAUCAGUUUGAUCACCAGAUGCGACCACUGGAGUCAGUUUAGGUGUUUCCCUCUAUUCUGUGUUUUCUGCAUGGAAAAACAUCACGUAGACUCACGCACCCAGACGCUGGUGAGUAGGAGUACUUCUCGCUCCUCAUUUAAAAACUUCUCUGGCCAGUCAGAGUGGUUCCCCUCGUUGUCUUUCACAGCUAGUGGUGCUCCGUGGUAUAAUACGAACACAUCAUCUCUCACUUACCCUUCCACUGGUCAGUGCCUAUUACUGGACAUUUAGCACUCCCCCCACCCCCAGAAAUUUGCUGCUGUCACUGUACACACAGCUCUCUGCAGGUGUGAAUAUUUCUUUAAGACACUAUAGCAGUGGAACUGCUGGUCCAAAAAAUCCUUUGGCUAAACAGACAUCUCUCGAGUCCCGACUGUGUGCCUCACACUAUUCUAAAUGUGGAGGGACAUUGCAGAAUACGACUGACACGUGUCCCUCUUCAUGAAGCUGAGGGUGGGUGCAGGAUGGAGUUUAAAUUUUGAUGGAUGCUGCCACAGAGCCGUGCAAAGGUGCUUUCCGAACUCACACUUGCCUCAGUGGGGCAGGGGAAUGAAUGUCCCUUUGCUGGCACCCAGUGCCAUUCGUGUGGUGACGGCUCUAGGCAGGUGGCUGGACUCUAAAGAGCUUCAGGUCUGCAGCUGGAAUGAUGGGCAUGCGAGGAAGUGAGCUUCUCGGCGGCAUCUCACACCCUCAGUUGUGAGAUGACAAAGUUUAUUUGACACAGGAUGGCAGGUGUCUGACCCUUUGGUGGCUCUGCCUACUGAGUGUGUCAUCUCUGACCUGGCUGUAAGUCUGUGUGCCAGGGAUUGAGGCUGCUGGAACUUUGGGAGUUUAUGGUGUCUCAGGCUGUGAACGCUGGGCUUGGUGGGAUUUGGGGUACCACAGUCUGAGGUCUCUUCGAUGCUGGCUGCACGUAACGUUGUGAGCGAGCUCUCCACCUCCACGGCACCAGUGCUCUGAGCUGUUUGUGUGUGUCUGUGCCCGGGGGUGUGAGCUCUGUGAUUGUGUGGCUUCUGUGUCCAGGCUGUGAGGCCUGGGAGCUAUUGGGUUUCUGCAUUGCAGGUUAUGAAGUUGCUAAAAUGCAUGUAGACCUGUCAUGUCUGAGCUGAUUUUGUGUCUCUGGCCUCAUCGAUCGAGCCCGUAGGAGUUUCAGUUCACUGGAUUGUUUGGUGGUGUGUGUCCAAUGGAGUGAGGUCCCCUCGCUGCUGUUCUGUGGGUCUGUAACUGAGUUUAGCAUGUCAUUGAUGUCUUUGGGGUUUUGUGACUCAGUGUGUGCAGCCCCUGGGGUAUUUGUGAGUCUGUAUUCAGAGUAUGAUGCUGCAGAGCUGGCGGGAGACUGGGGUCCCAGAGUGAGGUCUGCUCUGUCUUUGGUUCUAUGUUCCAGAGGUUGAAACCUCUGAGUCCCUGGGGUGUUUUAUGCCGAUUGAGAGACUGUCAUUUGCCAGAGUUCCGACGUGAGGUGUUGCGACCUCUUCCUGAUGUUUCAGUGCGACAGUUUCCCAGAAGGAAAGGGAGAGGUUGAUUGAUCUGAGUUGAGUUGACUGUGGACUCGUCCACUGCCACUCCCAUCAGGAGGACAUGGAACACACCUGGGGCAAGUCACCUGAAUGUUGGGGGAAGGGAUGUAAAACUUCCCCUUGCUUUGCAAACAUAAAGAAAAGCCUGACAAGUGAAAGUAAGAGGAGAAAGAAGUACUGCAGCUGCUGAAACCGAAGCCUUUCACACUAGCACACCCAAAUUAAUCGAAAAUUGUGAACUUAGAUAACUGUUCCAAGAAGAGCAACCGUUUAUUGACCAAAUACCUAGGGUCAAGGUCCUCAGAUCAUUGAAGAAACAUGUUUUAAGCUCCACCCGGACACUACACGUACUCAGGUACUGUGGCCAGCCUGGGGAUGCAGGGAUGAUGUGGGCUGGAACCCGCAAGCAGCGGGACGCCACCUGCUGUGUGAGGAGAGCUAUGGCAGGAUUUAAGUCAUAGACCCUAGGAGCACAGCAGAGCGCAGGUGACUCCUCCCAAAGUGUGAUGGGGACUCGCGGGGGAGGAAGUGUGGAGGUUUGGUCAGGACACCCUUCUCAGGGAUGGGGAGGUUCUUGAGGUAGGACGUUUGUCCGCAUUUUACAGGCACACAAGCUGCAGGACGCAGACACGAAGACGGGUAGAGGCAGACUUCUGUUCCCAGUCUGUGGGGCUGCAGACCACCCGGCAGCUGGGUCAUGUCCAGAGUUCUCAUUGCCGCCCCAAAGCACUUCCUCUGCUCCUGCUCGCCUCUGGACCCCUAAUAUCUGGGAAACAGGCCGAGACUGGGGGCGACAUACCCAGGGGUCGGGGGUGAUUGCAAAAGCCUAUCCCAUAUGGCAAAGUGCCUCCCGCAGGGGAAGUUCAAGUCCUGCCUGGCUGUUGGCUCUGAGGCAAGGCUUUCCUGCCAGUGGUCUCCGGUUUUUGGCUUCAGGGCAGCUCCUCUGAAGGCAGAUACAGAUGGUCUUAGAACCUUUCAGGGUGGCUUUACCCUGCUGGGUGCCUGCAUUUCACAGGUGGAUGUGGUAUUGGGACAGCGAUGACCCUCCCGUCCUGGAACAGUAUCAGCAUCUCGGCAACUGAAACACAAGCCAAGUGUGUUGUGACAGCAAAGAAGCCUGGCUUUGGAGUCAGGCAGAACCGAGGCGUGACUCCCAGAUCCACCCUUUACUGCACCAGCGACCUAACCUCUUUCAGCUUCUUCCCUUGUCCACAGAAACUGGGCGCUGACACUUACCUGUCUGGGAUUUGGGGAAAUGAAGCCAUAUAUGCCCAGCUGACAUGAGCUCAAUACCUAGGCUCCAGGCAGAGCCGUUGACCCUGUGACCCGUGUUAGGGACAUAGUAGUGUGGAGGGAGGGAAGCAUGCCAGGGGCCCUGGGAGUCUACUCCGCCCUCUGCCUGGGGUAGGCGGUGGGGUAGUGCUGGUGGAGCUGGUGCCGUUCCCAUCCUUUUUGUUGUCUUUACAGCCCAAAGGCACAGACUUCAUUUCAUACUUGGAUGUGCUCUGCUCAGAGGAGUCGUAGUGAACGAAGUGAAUCAUCACUGUUGAGUCUGUAGCGGGUACAGCCAGCUGUGGGUGCACUCUCUCCACCGGAUCUGAUAGGAGCGGGCUGUUUCCUCCAGGGGUUGACGGCCCCUGGCGGGGACAUCUAAGGAGUAGCCCGAAGGCACUGUCCCAUUCCCUUAGAGGGUCCCCCAUACUGAAGAGGCAGCUGAGCCUUGUCUCUUUGAUGACCACAGGGACCAGGACAUCAGACCCCUUGCGGGGGAGGAGGGUACAGCUCAAAUGGUAAGAGCAUGUGCUUAGCGUUGCACGAGGUCCUGAGUUCAAUCCCCAGUGCCUCCUCUAAAAAUAAAUAAACCUAAUUACCUCUCCCUGUCCAAAAACAGAAAAACAAAAAACCCUUGCAAAGGGACAAGCAUUUAAUAUAUUGUCCUAACAGAAUACUCAGGCUAUCAACUAUAGUGGAGAAUAAUGACAGUCCCAUGGGUAGGGCAGUUGAAGGCCUGUUCCAUUUACAGAGUCACAGACACCAUAAAGUUACAGACUUUUCCCCAGCUUUGGGCUGAUUCCCUCCUCACUGUGAAGCAGGUGGUCUCCCUGGAUCCCUUUAUGCAGUUUUUUUUUUGAAAACUGCAGCCCAGUUCCAAACUCCAUAUUCAAAUGCAACGGUGGGCCCAUCUAAAAUGAGGGGAGAGCUUUGCUGUCUGUAUCUGCCUGUUCUUAGCAAGGAAGCCUUUCCCAGAAACACUCGGCCAUCAGAUUGCAUUUCAAACCAGCUCAUUGUGAACCGGAGUAAAACGAGUGUCCGUCUGGGAAAUGAAUAAUGAAAUCUCCAUCACGUUCCACUCGGUAAAAGUAUAAAUCUGUUAACUGUGGCUUUUCCUCCACGGCCUCCCCAGGUAAAACGGAAAUUCUCUACCUAACCGGACAGUGGAACCCAAGAAGGAACCACGCAGAUGAGGAGGGAGGAGGGGCAUGCCAGAUGGAGGGAAGACCACGUGCGAGGUUGUGAAAUCUGCAGCUGGGCGUGGGGUGGCUGGGGGAGGGAGGGCGAGUGUGAACACCCCGGCCACAUGAUGAGCACAGAGAUUCUGGGUGGCGGGAGUAUCAGGUAUCCCCAGAGCUGUAUUACUGCUGAAACCUAGGAGACUUUCCCUGACUGAAGUGGCGGAAGACAGGUACCAGUAUUGGACUCUGAACUUGUGAUCUCAUCAGAGAGCUUGGGAGCUCAAGCGACCGGCCAGGCUUUCCUCCCAGCUCGAGGGGAGAAGAUCAGUUGACCACAUAAGUGCAGACUGAUUUGUCAGAGCCCACAGCGUUAGCCGCCACCAACUGUAACCUCCGUACAGGCUGGGGUGACAUGCAACGAGCCGGUGACAUCGCUGUGUGUUCAGAGCUGGUGGCACCAAGUCUGGAGUAGGAGCCGGAAUCCAGUGAGGUCCAGAGACGUGCCCCAUGUCAAAUUCUAGGCCAGAGACCGAGCCACAGGCACCGAGAGACAAGAAAUAUUGGUAUGGAGUCAGCGUAAAGUACAAGGGCCAAAUAGCAAAUCUGAAUGUACCUGUAGCAAGAAAAGAGAUCCAAUCGUUCAACUCAGAACCUCCCCACAAAAGGAAGCCCUGGCUUCGUUGGUGAGCUCUGUCAAAUGGUUAAGGAAGAAACAAUACGCAUCCUCCACAGACUCUUCCAGACUAGAGGAGGGACCGUUUCCUAACUCGUCCUAGAACAACAUUACCCUGCUGCCAAUGCCAGACGUGACAUCACAAAGAAAGAACAGACCAGUCUUGGUCAUGGAUAGCGAGAGAUAAAUCCUCAACGAAAGGUUAGCAAACCAAAUCCAGCAACAUUUACAAAGGGCUAUGCAACAUAAUCAGUCGAGCUCUAUCCCAGGAUUGCAAUAUUGGUUUAACGUUCAACUUCCGUUAAGGUAACCACCACCUUGAUGUAAGAAAGGACGGAAACCACCUGUCAUCUAGAAAGACAACGAAGAAGCACUGGACAAAAUUCAAGAGCUGCUGAUGAUAAAGAUGCUCAGCCAACUCGAGAUAGGAGGGAGCAGCCUCAUUCUGAUGAAAAUCUCUCCCGGGAAAUAUCCAGCUCCCGUCACGUCAUAUUUCAGAGGGUGAGAAUGAAGGCUGUCCCCUGGGGCUCCAGACCAAGACAGGGAUGCCUGCUCCAGCCACGGGUGUCCAGCACGGACUGAAGGUCCUAGUCUGUGCAUCAUGCAGGGCAAGAAAUGAAAUAUGGAGACACUGGAAAUGAAACCUGUGUCCACGCAAGGACCCGUACUUUGGUGUUCACGGCAGCAUUAUUCGUAAUCUCAGAAAAGUGGGAACGGUCUAAAAGUCUGUCAGCUGGUGACGGAUAAACAGAAGGUGCAAUACUCAUACGGUAGAAUGCCAGUGAUGGAUGGAACGGGACGGACUUCUGAUUUCUGCUAAGACAUGGGCGAGCCUCGGAAGCAUUCUGAUGAGUAACAGGACCCAGGCAGAAUGCCCCUUAGUACCUGAGUCAGUUUAUAUGAAAUGCCCAGAAAGGGCAGAUCUACAGACACAGACAUGAGAUUAGAGGACGCCUGGGCCUGUGGGUACUAAUGGGGAUAGACAGCCGGUGGGAACAAGGAACCUUACUGGGGUGCUGGCAGCGUUCCAGAACUGGAUUGUGGUGACGGUUGCACAGCUGUGUAAAUUUACUAAAAGUCACUGCAUUGGCCCCAUUAUAUGGGCGAAUCUUCUGGUGUAUAAAUUAUACCUCAGUGAAGCAGUUUAGAAAAGAUAAUGCAAACGCCCUGGUAAGUCAUGCAGGGAAGGAUAUGCUGUUGCUGUUGUAACAUAAGGACCCCGCCCCUCUAUUUCCAUGUCCUGGGGUCCUGCGUCCUCCAUGGGUCCAAGAUGCUCCCGCCAGACAGGGUCACUGUGCACGUAGGACAGAAUUGUGUGUCUGUGUGUCUUCACGCACAGGUGCCCUCUGUGCGAGCACAAUUCAGUGGCUCCGGACAGCCUCCUGUAAUCCACCCUGCGUUUGACAUCGUAUACUGAGGUGAUUUUCCAUUCUUCUCAGAUCCCAGGGACCAGGCUUCUGUUUCCCUGGUAACCGAUCUCAGCCGUCAGCUCCAGUACCUGGUUGCAGAAAUACUUGUAGCGCGGGGAGAGGCUUGUUCCCCCUCGCCCCCGUCCACACACACGGCCCCCUGCGUGAGCUCAGCGACCAGGGAGGAUGCUCAGCAGAGCGGUAACCAAGACAACGGAACUCCAGCCUCCUUCUUCCCCCAGGACCGAGGCCCGUUCCCUCCCCUUCACCUGCCUGGCUGUGUGGUAAAAAAAAGGAGACUCGGGGGCAUUGACACCCUCCUGAGUCCCUGAAAUUGUCUAAAUAUGUCAAAAACGGCUCUGGAAUGAGAAGACACAAUGAAAUUUCAAAAAUUUUCAUGACUAACAACUAUGGCUUGGAAGUCCAAGAUUCUCUUUAAAGGCAGGACGACGAAGCAGCAUGUGAUGAUGCUUCUCCACCUCAGCUGGGCCUCAGAUCUCCCCUGGGGACACCUUAGAAGAACAGGGGCUGGCGCACCAUCCCCAGGGAGUCUGAAGGAGCAGGUCUGGAAUGUGGCCCAGACGUGAGCAUGAUUUGAAAACUUCCCUGAUGAAAGCCGGGAUUGCGGCUGUGGAAACAGAACCAUCCUUAUAGGAGGAAUUCUGAAAUCAGACUUCGAGGCUCCUGUUUAUAAGGGAAGCAAGUUUUCAUCAUGAUCCGCUAUGCUUGGCAGAUAUCUUGGGCUGAGGAAAGGGAGAACAUGUCCAGUAAAUGGGUACCUUACACCUGACCCUGGACUUACUCUUCUCCAUGUUCCUGAAAGCAAAAUUUUGCACUUAAAGCCCUGCAUUUGCUCAUCAAACUUAGUACUUUGAGUUCUUGUCAGGAUCCCUUAUGCUUCGUUACUUCAAAACAUUCGUAAAACGUGGUAGAGGUAACAGCACGGGACAGAGCAGACUGGUUCCUUUAAAAUGAAAGAUGAGCAAGAAUCUUACCGUUGCUGUAGAAGGAUCAGCUGUCGGCUCAUCUGCUGAAUGUGCUGAGUUGCAUUUCUUUACUUUUUGGUAUAAUUUAUGUCAUCGAAUUAACUCCCGUGCUCAGAUAAGGCCAAACAGCACCAGCAUAUUUCUUGUGAAAAAUAAAAUCGCGCAAUCCCUUGUUUCGUGCACACCCACGGACACCCACCUGCCCAAACUCUCUCUCUCAGGGGUCUCUUCCGCAUCCUCAUCUGCACGUUCCCAGAUGGUGGGCUUACACUGCUGCGUCCUGACUCACCGGGGUUACACAUUGUGUGUCGAGUUCUUGCAAAGCGCAAGGCUUUCACUCUCUCGGGCAUGUUACAAGCCCAGGUUCCCCUCCUCAGAGAGCCUGUUGAGGCGCGCACCCAAAGCAGGGCCUGGGCCGGUGCUCAGGGCUCAUUCAGUGUGUCUUCCAAGAACAAGGCCUCACAAGGAAACUCACCCCCAUCCGUGGCAACGUGAAGAUCGUGGUUUAGCCUUUUCCAGAGCCGGCCCACGGCAGUCGUGGCCUGAUGCCGAUCACACCCAGCAGCAUCCCGGGAGUUUGGUUUAGGGAUCUGGGUGGGUGACCGUGUCCAUCCAUGAGAGGAGAAACACUGGUUUGGGGCCACCAGCAGAUUCGCAGGGCUUGUGGCAGAUCCGAGUGCAGAUACCCCUUAAGUCUCUGCCUCCGGGGACUCUGGGGCCCAGUUAAACCUACUUUGGUAGACCUGAUAAUGGGAAAGGGGAUAGAGAUGAAAAGCAUACAAGGGGAUAGAGAUGAAAACAAGCCAGGUGGGUAAAAGCUCGGGGGCGGGGGGAACUGGCCACCCAGGGAUCGUGUAGAGGAGAAGAGGAGGGCAGGGGUUGGAAGCCAGGGGGAAACAACCCAGAUGUAGGAGGAGAUCAAAGCAAAUGGACCAACAAGGAGACUUAGAAGUCGUGGACUGAGAGGUAGGAGGAAACCAGGAUGGACUCCUGUCACAGAUUCUGACAAAGGGAAGAAUUUUGAAAAAGGAAUGUCACUGUGGCCAAGACGGCACUGGAUACGACGGCUUGACAAAUGGAGCUCUUUGGAGACGUUAGGCAGGGGAUGUCCACGGAUGGGAGGACACUGAGCAGGAAACAAGAGGUAACCAAGCAAGGAUGCUACUGGCGUCUACACUUCCAAGAGGCUUGGCUUGAGAGGAACAAAAGAAGCAGAGGGUAGUAGAAGCAGAAGUGCUUUCGGGGUUUGUAAUAGUCUGUCCCCCCAAAGAGGGGGAAAACCAGGAUGCAGGUU